GUAGCGGUAACGCUUAAUCAUUAUUUCUAAGCAGGAUGCAAUGAUUAAAUGAUGAUCGAUCGUUUCGUUGAUGUAAGAAGGAUGUGCAAUAACCAAAUAAUUUGUAAGAUUGCAUCGGAUUUUUGAUUAACGUAACUCGCGUUCCAGUGAGCACAUUAUUUAUUAAUGUAUAUAAUAAUGCGUGAGAAAGAAAGAAAAACGCUCUGAUAAUGAGUUCGUUUUUAUAUUUGUAACCAAGAAAAAAAUAAGAAAAUAAAAAAGGAAAUAAAAAAUAUUCAAUGGAUAUUUCAUCCUUUAGGGUGAAAACCGAACGGACGCAUAAAUACAUCCUGGACAAUGGCGAUGGCCAAGGUACAUGCGUAGCUUCGACAAAAGGAAUGUACUUUAUAUAGUGCCCACGAAGAUUACAUUGAACAUGGAUUCUGCCUUGUCAAACGUUGUUGGAAAAGGAACUGGAACGGAUGUCCGGCUGUCUGGAAAGUCCAUGGCAUUCAAACGAAGCCACGAACCAUGCGCCAUCAUAGAAUGUGUCGAUUCGAUUUAGAAGCAACAUAAUCUCCGUUUGAGUUAACCAAUAAUCGGCUUAUUGAUUUUGAUUUGUACCAUUAAAGUCUAUCUCACUGUUGUACAACGAAUUAAAAUACUUAAGGUGUAUAGUAUAUAUAUGUAUAACUUAAUUGUAUAUAUAGUAGAUAAAUAUAUAUAUAUAUAUAUUUCCAGGGGGUAUUGAAAAAACACUGUCGAAAAAUCUCGAAUAGCGCAACCGUGUUUUCUCUAAAUGAAUAUGAGAAGAUUCAAGCGGCGCGAUAGUGCUUCUUAUAUUUUAUGUUCUGCACGUAUAAGAUGUGUUAGAUAACGUGAUUCUCGUCUUUUUUACAUCGCUCCGUCACAUUUCUUGCAGUUGACAAAGUGAUUUGAUUUAGUAAAGUUGCUACGACGUAACUUGCGACAAUGCAUAGUCUGUAGCAUUAAAAAUGUAAUAAAAAGAUUACAUUUAAUUUGUGUGCAGUGUAAAAAAGAAAUUCAUCCAAUAUGUUUUGAUAAAUACCGAUGUUACAAAUUAUAAGUGUUAUUCUCCAUUUAAAUUGUUUGUUAAUAAAACAAAAAUAUUUUUAAUUUAUAAUUCGUUAUUUUAUGAAAUACAUUUGUAUUAUUAAAUAUGCGUACUGUAAGUUUAUAAAUAUUUCAAGUUUUGUUCGAUAAAAAUUAUUGAGAAGAUAACAAUGAAAUACAAAAUGUUUUACUUUGUAAUGUAUUAUUGCACUAUUAUUAUAGUAUUUUAUUAUAAAAUGUAUUAUUUAUAUUAAAAGAAGGAGCUGUGUGACGUGCUUGCGUCAGUAAAUCUGAGCAAGCGACUUCGACAGUCGCACCGUUACUUGUCCACAACGCUCAAAAUGUGCUGGGUUUUCUCGACAUAAAAUCUGAACAGUGUGAUCGCACUGCUUGGGACUCAAAUGUUUAAACGGAGUUCAAAUCCGGAAAAAAUAAUUGGAGAAAGAGACAAUUUGUAUGGAAUUCGUGACAAUUCCACUAGUGUGAAGGAUCCCUUAACGAGGGCGGCCCUGACCGCUACCGUUAUCCUAUUCGAUGCUUCAUUGACUUUCAUCCUAACUUGGGUGAUGCGUGUUUCGCACACGUGACAUACAGUUUGCAUGGAUACGUGACAUACGAGGUGUACGUAAACGAAACUGCUGCUGCUACUGCUGCUGCUGCUGCUAUUGCUGCUGCUGCUGCUGCUGCUGCUGUUGCUGCUGUUGCUGCUGUUGUUGCUGCUGCUGCUGCUGCUGCUGCUAUUGUUGUUGGUAGUGGCGAUGUUCGGCCGGUUAUACAGAACGUGUUACUUCAUGGUGACACGUAACACGGCUAGAUUGCCGCUAUAUUUCAUUUUUCCAUAAAUGUCGAAUGAAUGAUUCGAAACACGUAUAAGUUUCACGAUAAAACAUUUUGGUUAUAGAUUUGAUUAUGGUGAUGACGUUCGUUCAAUAUCCGUUCGGUAUCUUCCAGCUGGUAGAUCAAAACCAAAAAAGGGAAUGGAAAGAGAGUGAAUUGAUGGUGUGCCUAACGAACACGGGCCAACUAACACAAAAAGAGAGACGUUACUUCCGGUCCUGUUUGCCGAACCAACCAGAAAGAAUUAACCGGAUAGCGCAUGUAUCGGUAAUCGGGCCAGUUUUCAGAUUGAAAACUUUGAACAAGGAAUCAAGUGUUAGUAGAACAAAGACUCGUCCAGUGUUAGAUCAAGAGGUACCGAAGAUUUCUUUACUUGGAAAUUUUCAAGUUUUAAAUCCACCAACCAAAUGUGCUGAUCGUACGACGGAAUAAUUUCGGCGUUAAAAGGACCACAUUAAAGAUUUCUCUCUCUCUCUCUUUCUCUCUCUUUCUAUGUAUCGAUUUAUCUCUCUUUUUCGAAGUGUCGAGAAAAGCGAUUUAUUUAAUUAAGCGACAGAUUCUGUAUCGUUCGGCAAGCGUAGUCGAUUUGAAACGGAAGGAGAGCUUCGAAAUGCGGAGGAGGGCAACAACGCAGCAACCAAACACUUGUGGCUUUUAAGCUUGUGGCGAACCGGUGCUCCUGAUUCAAUUACCUUUGAAAUCCUUUGUCGUCGGACAUUAAAGCCGGAGCUAAUCCUGGGAGCACGUUGGGAACUCCGAAUGGCUUUUCCUCCUCCUUCACCUCCUCCUCCUCCCUCUCUCUCUUUCUCUCUCUUUUCCUCUCUCUUUCUUUUCCUUUCUUUCUUUUUCUAUUUCUUUUAGUUUCUUUUUCUAUUUCUUUUUUUCUUUCUUUUUUUUUUUUUUUUCCAUUGAUCAGAAAACAUCCCCGUGUUAAGCCGUGACGGGAAAUUUUAUGGGGCGUUUAACGAUAAUCGAUGAACAAAGAUGGCUACUCUGAUUAUAUUUUUAGUACACUCAUUAUUUUUCUAUUUGAUCAUUUUUAUUUUUGUUUUAUAUUCCUUCGCCGUUUAUUUAGAUAAUGAGAUACGAAUAAUACAAGGCAAUGGGAUUAUUAUUCUAGCUAAUAUGUUUUACUUUUCGAUGGACGAAUAGAGAACGAUCUAAGUACUGAUAGAUUCGUACCAUAAAAAAGAGAGAGAGAGAGAGAGAGAGAGAGAGAGAGAGAGGAAGAGAGAGGAAGAAUGAGAUAGAGUGAAGGUGAAGGAUCGAAAAGGAAUGAUUCCUGAAUCGUUGAGCUUUCACACUCAGUCGAGCGUAAAUUUUUCAGUUUCGGCUGGUCGAACGUUAUCGAUGAUAAGAUCGGUAAGUGCAAGAAAAUUGGAAAAUCUCUUUCUGAAAAGACUUUUUUUCCUCUUUUUCUGCUUUUUUUUCUUUUUUUCUUUUUUUUUUUUUUUUUUUUUUUCCGUAUAAAAAACCUGGCCGAAAGUCUACAGAUUUUUUUAGAUAAAUUUAGCACUACGACGAAAUGUAUCUAUUCACACUUUUCUCUUUUUCUUUUUUUUUAUUGCAAAUUUUUUUAAUUAUCAUUGUAAGAAGUAUUUGGUUUCUACAUUAGAUAAGUUUCGAUCAUGAAUAAUCCAAUCGAUGCAAACAAAAUGUGUAAAAGUUAUUAAAACGGUGUUUAAAUCACCUACCUUUAUGGCUUAUUCAAAAAGCCGUGAAUUUCGAUGUAAAAUCCAUUCUCUCUCUCUCUCUCUCUCUCUCUCUCUCUCUCUUUUUCUCUCUCUCUCUUUCAGAGGAGAGAAUUUUCUAGUUUUGAAACCACAAACGAGUAGUACAUAACGAGAUCGUUCAUGGCUUUUGUUAUUUUUCUAUAUAUAUCCUAUAUAUAUAUAUAUAUAUAUUUUUUUUUUUGUUUCUUUUUUUUUCUUUUCACAUGUGUAUAUGCGAAAGGAUAAAAAUUAAAAAUAUAUAGGUGGAUGGUUGAUUUGUUAAUUAUUAAAAGUACGAUAUGUGAAUUAGGAAAAGAAUAAAUAUGAAAAUGAAAGUCGAGUAUUAUUAAGCAUCUAUUUUUGAAUUUUCUCUUUCUUCUUUUUUUUUCUUUUUUCACACACGUGCACAACUUAGACAUACAUACAUAUACAUGCAUGGAAGCUUGAUAGAAAGAGAAAGAGAAAGAGAGAGAGAGAGAGAGAGAGAGAGAGAGAGAGAGAGAGAGAGAGAAGGAGAGAGAGAGAAGGCUCGCUGAUCAUUUUCUUUUUUUUUUUUUUUUUGCCAAUUAUUUUCUGUGCCUGAAAGAGGGAGUAUAUAUCGAAAGUGGAACGAUAGAGGCUUAUCGAUAGGAUGAACGUCAUAAAGCGAUGCAUCUUAGAACAUCGAAGGUCAACAAGAGAAAUCUGGAGCACCUGAAUACUUAUCUUUUGAGAGGAGAAUCAUUCCUCUUCUAUUGAACAAUAUUUCCUACUUUGAUCUCCCUAGAUAUUAUUGAUAAGGCUUAUAACAGUGUUAACAAAAUGCAUAAAUAAAAUCUACGCAAGUUAUAUUUCAA
This is a long non-coding RNA of Vespa velutina, 4438 nucleotides long. RefSeq lists it as uncharacterized. The record is from RefSeq and is a predicted model, not a curated record. Lineage: Eukaryota; Metazoa; Arthropoda; Insecta; Hymenoptera; Vespidae. The transcript is spliced from 5 exons.